This 279-nucleotide ribosomal RNA is filed under the name uncultured bacterium. Its description in RNAcentral is "partial 16S ribosomal RNA". It matches the Rfam family "Bacterial small subunit ribosomal RNA", at positions 506 to 784 of the family's 1533-position model. The record is from RNAcentral.
UGCCAGCCGCCGCGGUAAUACGGAAGGUGCAAGCGUUAUCCGGAGUCACUGGGUUUAAAGGGUGCGUAGGCGGCCCGAUCAGUCAGAAGUGAAAGCUCAUCGCUUAACGAUGGAACUGCUUUUGAUACUGUCGGGCUUGAAUUAGGUUGAGGUUAGCGGAAUGUGUCAUGUAGCGGUGAAAUGCAUAGAUAUGACAUAGAACACCAAUUGCGAAGGCAGCUGGCUAGACCUAUAUUGACGCUGAGGCACGAAAGCGUGGGGAGCGAACAGGAUUAGAUA